Non-coding RNA from Paramuricea clavata, 567 nucleotides. The record is from the annotation of a GenBank genome assembly. Lineage: Eukaryota; Metazoa; Cnidaria; Anthozoa; Malacalcyonacea; Plexauridae.
UACUACUGUAUGUCAAGAACACGGCGACCCGAUAUACACAUUGUUUGUUAAUAGCCUGCCUACAGUGCCUAGUGGCUGCUUUUAAUAUAAAUAUUCUAUGAGACUAUGACUAUGUUCAGUUACGUUAGAAUGAAAUCUUUUUCCAGAGAAAUCCAAUUGAUUUGUACAUUGUACAUUUGUACAUCAGUUAUUUCGGUACAAUUAGCUUGUGACAGUUGCUUAUAAAAGCGUUUUGAGACCCCUGUGUUAAAUUAACCAGGCAUUUAUCAAUUAAUUCCCAACUAGAAAUUGCGUCAACAAUUUUCCAUCGCGUCAUCUUUGACUGUCUUCAGACCACUGCCAAAAAUGAAGCCCAGAAUUGCCGGUUUCAUACUCAAAUGAGUCUAUAUAGAAAAUUGAGUUCACUGAGUUAAUUCUUAUUCAUUGGUGAGCGGAUUUCCCAACAGGCAGGCUAUUGCCUAAUUGAUAAGGGAUCCGAGGUACCUACGAUUUUAACGUCCUUAUCCAAGAAGACGCGAAAGUGUGGUCAUUUACAGAUGUCAAUGUAAAGGUAGCACUUUCUCCUCA